RNAcentral lists this small RNA (725 nucleotides) under Pan troglodytes (chimpanzee). Its description in RNAcentral is "processed transcript". Lineage: Eukaryota; Metazoa; Chordata; Mammalia; Primates; Hominidae. The record is from RNAcentral.
GGCUGGGACCCAGGACUUCAAGCCAUGUGGCGCGUCUUGUUUCUGCUCAGCGGGCUCGGCGGGCUGCGGAUGGACAGUAAUUUUGAUAGUUUACCUGUGCAAAUUACAGUUCCGGAGAAAAUACGGUCAAUAAUAAAGGAAGGAAUUGAAUCGCAGGCAUCCUACAAAAUUGUAAUUGAAGGGAAACCAUAUACUGUGAAUUUAAUGCAAAAAAACUUUUUACCCCAUAAUUUUAGAGUUUACAGUUAUAGUGGCACAGGAAUUAUGAAACCACUUGACCAAGAUUUUCAGAAUUUCUGCCACUACCAAGGGUAUAUUGAAGGUUAUCCAAAAUCUGUGGUGAUGGUUAGCACAUGUACUGGACUCAGGGGCUUACUACAGUUUGAAAAUGUUAGUUAUGGAAUAAAACCCCUGGAGUCUUCAGUUGGCUUUGAACAUGUAAUUUACCAAGUAAAACAUAAGAAAGCAGAUGUUUCCUUAUAUAAUGAGAAGGAUACAGAAUCAAGAGAUCUGUCCUUUAAAUUACAAAGCGUAGAGGGUGUUACAAACUUCACGAAAUGAGUUGGGAAGUGUUGUCUCCUCUAUUCUGGAAGACUUUGUGGAGGAUUGAUUUAAUUAUUUCAACAUCUGUAAAAUCCAUCUGGGAUUGGACAUUUUUAGGGAAGGAUUUUUAUUAGUAAUUAAAUUUUUUCUCAAGUCUAUUAUAAUUUUCUAAUUUCUUUUGG